UGACCCAGGGGCAGCCUCCGUCCGGAAGCAGGUGACCGUCCUCUUGAGGCAUCAUCGGGCCAGUUGUGUCCUAACACCACACCACAGUGCCUACGCCAUUCCCCUCAUUUCGUCUCAUCUCAAGAAGGAGGAAGAUCUUCAGCGGUGUGUGAGUCAGACAGAAACAUCCACAACCAGCAUGCUGCCCAGCCACAGGUCACCAUGUGCGUCUUGAACUGCAGCGCUCUGUCCGCCGCUGGCCUCAGUGCAUCUGCGUGACAAUCCUAAGGGCUUCUGACGAGAACAUGAUUCCUGGUCAUGCUUCGGGAUGCGUAGAUGUUGAGCUUCAUGUAGACGCGUGGAGCUUUAACCUUAAAUGAAGCUAAAUGAUGAGGGUGGACUGAAGGGAAAAUGUCAUGUAUUAAAUGCCAACUAUAUUAAAUAUAUAUUAAAUAUGUUAGUUUACUUAUUCUUACUCCCUAACGUAGGCGCCGUCACCAUUUUUCAGCACGUCAACGCCUGCUCGGAGAGGUUCCCUGAGUUCCCAGGCUGGCAAGUUGGCUGCGUCUGUCUGGGAUCCCAUGUGAGUUUGCCUGCAGAGCCUGGAAAACAGAGCAGAAAAGCAAUCCUAUUUGGAGAAAUUCUGUCAGGAAAGAAGGCAAUGACAUGCGCACACGCAGAGUUCAAACCCGUGCGUUUGGAUCUUCAGAAGGGCGCAGCAGGGCACACGGCCAUGAAGCACAGGAGUCCUAUUCUGAUGAAUCAUGCUCCGCUCCCCGCAUGACCUUAUUAGCGCCACUUCCUUCUCCAGGCCCGACGUGGGAAAGCACAGUGAGCUGGAGAGUCCCACAGGUUUCCCCCAGCCCAGGUCACCUCUGAGUUUCUGCGCCUGAUUAAACUUGGCAUCCAGAGAAACCAAGGGACCAUGCAUCCUGGUCCAACGAAGUCAGGCAAGAUAUUUCCCAGGGGACAUUCUGUUUUAAGUGAAAGGCAUUCUAAUACUUGCCUCCAAACCAGAUACAAGGUGUUUCUCUCUCAAAUCCUUCUAAAUAAUGAGAGUUACCAUGUACUGUUUGUCAGGCACUGUUGGAAGCACUUAAAUUGUCUGAAUGUUGUUCAUUUCCACAACCCUGAGAGAUAGGUACUAUUAUUUUUCCCAUUUUAUAGGCAAAAACCCCAAAACAGAACCUCUAAAUCAUUCAAGUUGUCAGAGUUUGCUUAGCUUAUAAGUGGCAAAGCUGGGAUUUCCACCUGAAAGUCUGGUUCCUGGUCUGUGCCCCUCACCGCCCUGUACUGUAAAUUGUUUCUCGACCAGAAGUGGCCUGCAUUGCCCAGUAGGAGGCAUGAGGAAGAAGUUACUGUUGGCAAAGACGUCAGAGAAGUUUGAGAGGUGGUGAGUUCAGAAGGGAGGCAUUUGGGAGCUGUAGGUAAGAGAGGUGCUGCUUUCUCAGGAAUGUUUGCACAGAGAAAUAGCUUUGCUGGCUCACGGGUGCCUUGGUUCCACACCCAAGUCCUGAGAUACCCCUGGCUGCCAACAAGACUGCUCACAUCCAGCAGCAACUCCCUGCCAAGGGCAAAGGUUAAUCUGCGUUGGAACAGGGAUGAGCAAAGAGACCUAAAUCCAAAGUAGGUUUCCAAAGAGACUGACUAUUGGCUGCCUGAUAGAGGGUACAGUGCGACUUGUGUGAACUUAGGUUCACGGCCAGGCCGAAAAGGGAUUGCCUUGUCUACUAAGAGCCCCACUCCCAGGCCAUGCUUUCACCACCAUGUGGGCAUAAGGAACC
Long non-coding RNA from Ursus maritimus (polar bear), 1763 nucleotides. Lineage: Eukaryota; Metazoa; Chordata; Mammalia; Carnivora; Ursidae. The record is from Ensembl.